AUGGGGAUGGGGACAGGGAUGCCCCCAUCCACACCAACACACCCACAAGAGCUCCCCAUGGCAACAUCCCCCUGCCAAAACUGGAGAGCGGGUGGGGGGCUCACCCUCCUUGCCGUGCCACCCCAAAAGCACAGGGCAGGGGGAUUUGGGGACCUUGCUACCACCUACCCACCACCACCCCAUGCCCUGUUCUGGGGCAUCCCAGCCUCUCGGCACGUGAGGCAGCAAAGAAGCAAAGAGAUGAGCCAUGGGGCGGCUCUGACGCAGCAGCUCGGAGCCGGGCAGCUGGGCUCUCCAGCCAUCCCCAUGGAGCAGCAAUGGGGUGGAGAGCGGGGUGCCGAGCAGGGCGCUGAGCGCGGCUCCUCUCCUCCUUCCCCAGCCGUGACUCAGGCAGGAAUUCACCGCCCUGAGGGCUGCAGCGGUGUCACCGCUCUGGGAUGCUUGGGCCGGGCCCUUUGCGCAGCCCAAACUCCCUGGUUUUAUUGCCUAGCUGUCUGCCCCGACAGCCGGGGAGCCAGCUCAGCUGGAAACCUCCCCGGCAGGUCCUUGCUGCUCGGCCAGAAGGUGCAGGGAGGCUGCUCCCGGCUCCCCGUUAGCGUCACCCCGCCUUGCACAAGCCCUGCCGCCGGCGCAGAGCCGCCCAGCCACGCCGCUUGGGUGCUUUUUGGUGGCGGUCGGGGCUGGGAAGGGCUUUUGGGGAAGACGCCGGCGCUGCCCGAUGCCACCCAAAGGCUGCUUUGCGCUGAUUUGAGGCUCCCAAAGGGCAUCGCUGCCCCGGCGGGGGGGGGCUCCGUGAAUCCCUGUGGAUUUGGUGAUGCCCAGGCGCUGUGGGAGCCGGCACGGGGAAGCCCCAGGAGCGUGGCAGUGGCUGCAGCGGGGUCAGACCUCGCACGGGGACCGGGGGCUGCCCGGGGCAGGUGGCAGCAGAGCCCCCGCAGGGGCCCGGGGCUCGUCCCCCAGCCCUUCCUCCCCUCCCUGCAGCCUUUGUGCCGCCUCCGAGCAGGCACCUCCGGGGUGAACGCAUUAAGGAAACACAAAGCAGAUCCCAGACACAUUUCGGCUGCAAUUUUCUCUGCUCCAUUAUUGACAAACAAGCUGCUUCUCGCAGGUGACGGCGAGGCCAGCUCGGCAGCUGGGGCACCGCGGCGUGCGCCGGCCCCGUGCCGUGCCAGCUGGCCUGCCCUGCUCAGCCCCCGCCACGGGGCACGAAGGAUGCUCAACCCCCCCCACCUCCCCGGCCCCCCAAAUCACUCCUGGGUCACCCAGAUCCAGCAGCAGCAUCCCUGCAACAUGCAGCAGGGAGAGAGCCAGCUGGGAGCACCCCACCUUGGGGGGCAGCACCGUGGGGCACAGCCACGUCCUCCCCAAAAUCAGAGCCCUGCUCCUGAUCCCCCCCCCUCCCCGGAGCAGGGGCUGCUCCCCGGCCGGGGCUCAGCGCCGCGCCGAGUCUGUCGUUAG
This 1458-nucleotide long non-coding RNA is filed under the name Anas platyrhynchos platyrhynchos (common mallard). RNAcentral describes it as "lncRNA (ENSAPLG00000028374.1)". The record is from RNAcentral. Lineage: Eukaryota; Metazoa; Chordata; Aves; Anseriformes; Anatidae.